GAGAAUGAAGAAGGCAGCUAAACAAGUCACACUACCAUUGUAGGAUAUGGGUUAUUUUGAAAGGCUACUUGGUAUUUCUUGGUAUUCUCGUAGUUUAAUCGAGGAAAAACGAUAAAAAAGUUGUGAACUGUUUUUCUCAGGACAAAUAUCUUUUCUUACUACAUCUGCUUUAACUGAGAAUCAUUUGUGUAACUACUUGUUUGUGCAACAGUUAUGUCCUUUGUAUCCACACA
This 233-nucleotide unclassified non-coding RNA is filed under the name Hevea brasiliensis (rubber tree). Lineage: Eukaryota; Viridiplantae; Streptophyta; Magnoliopsida; Malpighiales; Euphorbiaceae. The record is from RNAcentral.